Molecule: long non-coding RNA, 1190 nt
Organism: Mustela erminea (ermine)
Lineage: Eukaryota; Metazoa; Chordata; Mammalia; Carnivora; Mustelidae
Exons: 2
Source: RefSeq, a predicted model, not a curated record
CCUGAUAUUGAGUGGAAAUCAAGAGUUGGGAUGCUUAACUGACUGGGCCACCCAGGCACCCCUACCUUGAUUCCUUUUGAGAGAAAACUUCCACCUUGAACAAGCCAGAAAGAACAUUUGGCGUUUUCCCUCACACACAGCUGAAUGGAAGUCAGGAUGAUCUACUAGUUUUACCUCCAUGCGGACAUGAGGGGAACUGCUUACCCAUACUUACUGCCAGCAUGAGCCAGGAUCAAACAUGCUUCUGAUGCCUCAGGUCCAGGUUCCAAUCCCCACCUAAGGGCCUUGAGAAACACGCAGGGGUUUGUACAAAAAGUAGUUCACAGAAGGCCUGGCUUUCCUUAAACCACUCAGGAUUUUUUGUGGUGGUCAGAACUGCUAAUUUAAGAGAGAGAAUGAGUCUCUCCUUUCACUUCAUUCCUGAGUUUGGAGUCUCCCCCCAAUUCCCACAUUCCCCCUUUGGAAUCCAUAACCAACUCUGCUUCCCCUGUGGUUAUUGGGAAGUGAUCCGGCUCUGUGCUUUACAAGAAAUACUGGAUAAUGCUGGACUAGAAAUCUCGAUUUAGACAAAAUACCACAUCUCCUUUGGAAGCAAAAUGUCGCAUUAGAUCAUGGCAAACUCCAACCAAGAAAGUCCUCACCUCUCCGCUUCCAGCAUAUUUAUUAUGCAUAGUAUUCAUUUCACUGCCAAUUUCCCAGAUGACUCUGGGUCAGGGAAAGCUUCCACUCUCAUGCCAGUUUCCCCUGAGCUUGACCUCCCUCCACCCAACUCCCAAAGCUCCCAACUCUUGUGGCCCAUGUCCCAAACUUCUGGCAUACCCAACAUUCUGUUUCUGGCAUCUUCUUCUUCCUUCUGCUCCCGCUACACACUCACCCUUGGGGCAUCCUUUCUCUCGUGACUCACGUAUGUGACCUCACAUCAACUCAAGACGAUUCAGACACAACUCUCCUUUUCAGCCCCUACAUCUAUCAGGGUAAAUGUCAGCACAGUCUGCUUUUAGUCCAACUGUAAAAGAAGAAUCUGUGUACUUUUAAAGAAUACAAGAAAGAACUGACUACAGUUCAAAUUCACAACUGCCUGCCAAAUUCCUGGCAAAUGGUGGGUGUGCACGGGAAGAAAGGUCAAGACCACACAAAGUGUAGUCUGUUUAUUUACAAAAGCUGUUAAAAUAAAAAUUGAGUACUCUGGG